RNAcentral lists this ribosomal RNA (254 nucleotides) under uncultured bacterium. Its description in RNAcentral is "partial 16S ribosomal RNA". It matches the Rfam family "Bacterial small subunit ribosomal RNA", at positions 524 to 776 of the family's 1533-position model. The record is from RNAcentral.
UACGGAGGAUCCAAGCGUUAUCCGGAAUUACUGGGCGUAAAGAGUUGCGUAGGUGGCAUCGUAAGUCGGUAGUGAAAGCGUGUGGCUCAACCACAUAUACAUUAUCGAAACUGCGAAGCUAGAGGACGAGAGAGGUUAUUGGAAUUCCUAGUGUAGGAGUGAAAUCCGUAGAUAUUAGGAGGAACACCGAUGGCGUAGGCAGAUAACUGGCUCGUUCCUGACACUAAGGCACGAAAGCGUGGGUAGCAAACGGG